Molecule: ribosomal RNA, 1292 nt
Filed under: metagenome
Description: bacterial LSU rRNA
Rfam family: Bacterial large subunit ribosomal RNA
Source: RNAcentral
CCUAGUGAGAAAGUAACUGCCCGUACCGCAAACCGACACAGGUAGUUGAGGAGAGAAUCCUAAGGUGUGCGAGAGAACUCUCGUUAAGGAACUCGGCAAAAUGACCCCGUAACUUCGGGAGAAGGGGUGCUGACCGCAAGGUCAGCCGCAGUGAAUAGGCCCAAGCGACUGUUUAUCAAAAACACAGGUCUCUGCAAAAUCGAAAGAUGACGUAUAGGGGCUGAUGCCUGCCCGGUGCUGGAAGGUUAAGAGGAGAGGUUAGCGCAAGCGAAGCUUUGAAUUGAAGCCCCAGUAAACGGCGGCCGUAACUAUAACGGUCCUAAGGUAGCGAAAUUCCUUGUCGGGUAAGUUCCGACCCGCACGAAAGGCGUAACGAUUUGGGCACUGUCUCAACGAGAGACUCGGUGAAAUUAUAGUACCAGUGAAGAUGCUGGUUACCCGCGACAGGACGGAAAGACCCCAUGGAGCUUUACUGCAGUUUGAUAUUGCGUGUUUGUAUCACAUGUACAGGAUAGGUAGGAGCCGAAGAUACCGGGACGCCAGUCUCGGAGGAGGCAACGGUGGGAUACUACCCUUGUGAUAUGACCACUCUAACCCGCUGCUCUUAGCGAGCAGGGAGACAGUGUCAGACGGGCAGUUUGACUGGGGCGGUCGCCUCCAAAAAUGUAACGGAGGCGCCCAAAGGUUCCCUCAGAAUGGUUGGAAAUCAUUCGUAGAGUGUAAAGGCGGAAGGGAGCUUGACUGCGAGACCUACAAGUCGAGCAGGGACGAAAGUCGGGCUUAGUGAUCCGGUGGUUCCGCAUGGAAGGGCCAUCGCUCAACGGAUAAAAGCUACCCUGGGGAUAACAGGCUUAUCUCCCCCAAGAGUUCACAUCGACGGGGAGGUUUGGCACCUCGAUGUCGGCUCAUCGCAUCCUGGGGCUGUAGUCGGUCCCAAGGGUUGGGCUGUUCGCCCAUUAAAGCGGUACGCGAGCUGGGUUCAGAACGUCGUGAGACAGUUCGGUCCCUAUCCGUCGCGGGCGUUGGAAAUUUGAGAGGAGCUGUCCUUAGUACGAGAGGACCGGGAUGGACACACCGCUGGUGUACCAGUUGUUCUGCCAAGAGCAUCGCUGGGUAGCUAUGUGUGGACGGGAUAAACGCUGAAAGCAUCUAAGCGUGAAGCCCCCCUCAAGAUGAGAUUUCCCAUCACUUUAAGUGAGUAGACCCCUGAGAGAUGAUCAGGUAGAUAGGUUGGGAGUGGAAGUACAGCGAUGUAUGGAGCGGACCAAUACUAAUCGGUCGAGGACUUAACC